RNAcentral lists this ribosomal RNA (751 nucleotides) under Mycobacteroides abscessus subsp. abscessus. Its description in RNAcentral is "partial 23S ribosomal RNA". It matches the Rfam family "Bacterial large subunit ribosomal RNA", at positions 2004 to 2754 of the family's 2925-position model. The record is from RNAcentral. Lineage: Bacteria; Bacillati; Actinomycetota; Actinomycetes; Mycobacteriales; Mycobacteriaceae.
ACGACUUCUCAACUGUCUCAACCAUAGACUCGGCGAAAUUGCACUACGAGUAAAGAUGCUCGUUACGCGCGGCAGGACGAAAAGACCCCGGGACCUUCACUAUAGCUUGGUAUUGGCGUUUGGUUCGGUUUGUGUAGGAUAGGUGGGAGACUGUGAAGCAGGCACGCCAGUGUUUGUGGAGUCAUCGUUGAAAUACCACUCUGAUCGUAUUGAACCUCUAACCUCGGACCGUAUAUCCGGUCCAGGGACAGUGCCUGGUGGGUAGUUUAACUGGGGCGGUUGCCUCCCAAAAUGUAACGGAGGCGCCCAAAGGUUCCCUCAACCUGGACGGCAAUCAGGUGUUGAGUGCAAGUGCACAAGGGAGCUUGACUGCGAGACCUACAAGUCAAGCAGGGACGAAAGUCGGGACUAGUGAUCCGGCACCUCUGAGUGGAAGGGGUGUCGCUCAACGGAUAAAAGGUACCCCGGGGAUAACAGGCUGAUCUUCCCCAAGAGUCCAUAUCGACGGGAUGGUUUGGCACCUCGAUGUCGGCUCGUCGCAUCCUGGGGCUGGAGCAGGUCCCAAGGGUUGGGCUGUUCGCCCAUUAAAGCGGCACGCGAGCUGGGUUUAGAACGUCGUGAGACAGUUCGGUCUCUAUCCGCCGCGCGCGUCAGAAACUUGAGGAAACCUGUCCCUAGUACGAGAGGACCGGGACGGACGAACCUCUGGUGUACCAGUUGUUCCACCAGGAGCACGGCUGGAUAGCUACGU